This is a long non-coding RNA of Rhodamnia argentea, 535 nucleotides long. RefSeq lists it as uncharacterized. NCBI's taxonomy places the organism in Eukaryota, Viridiplantae, Streptophyta, Magnoliopsida, Myrtales, Myrtaceae. The record is from RefSeq and is a predicted model, not a curated record. The transcript has 2 exons.
AUAGGCUGCAUGCAAACAGAAGAGGAGAGGAGUCAAAGGACCUUUGAGAUCAAUAGACAUGUCUAAGUAGCGGGAAGGAGAGAGUCCAAGUCUGCCCGCAUAGUAAAAAGAGUGACAGUCUUGCUUUGUCUGUGUUGCUCAAGAGUAAGAAACCAGAAACUAGGAAAAUGUGGCAAAGGCAACCGAACAAGAUGCAGCAUAUGUGGGCAAAAUGAAAUAAAGAAACAGAGAUACGACAAAAAGAUCAUGCAAUGGUCAUUAGGGAAACAAUACAAGGGAAGGAUAAAGCAAAACAAGUGCAGUUUCAAAGGUACAAAGAAGUUUGAUUUUUCAUCAAUUGAACUGAUGCUUGUUGCACCAUGCAACUAAGAAGAGAAAAAAGGGAGGGCACCACAUCCAAAACAGAAAUGCUCUGGAUAACUAGUCAUUCAAUUUUCUGUUUCCCUUUUGUCUAUAAGCAUAAAGGACCUUUUCAACUUGGAAACAAGAAGGUGCACAAUUUCGAAGGAAAAGAGGUGUUGUCUGUUUGCCUUGU